Molecule: unclassified non-coding RNA, 2275 nt
Filed under: Hevea brasiliensis (rubber tree)
Lineage: Eukaryota; Viridiplantae; Streptophyta; Magnoliopsida; Malpighiales; Euphorbiaceae
Source: RNAcentral
GAAGCCAAUAAAUUCAGCAAUCUGCAAAACAGUUCUAAUAGUGUAAGGCCUACACAAACGUUAAAGAUUUCACAAACCAAACAUGAAAAGUGCUAAAGGAGGAUUCAACUGACUGCAUAAACUUCACAUAAUCCUUUCCAUUCAUGAAUAUUACAACUUCAAGAUGCAGCUAGCUGCAGCAGACAUUUGUUAUCCUAACUAUUACCUGAAUGGCAUCAUAAAAUUCUAGAAAUUGAACAGAAAAGUUCACCAAUAAUCAAAUAUGCCACAUAGGUCAUAUGCAAACAAGGAUUAAACAAUGUGAAACAAGAGAGAGGGAGAGACAUAUGGAGGAUGACCACAUUGCCACUUCUUAAUACUAAAUUUUACUUUCAAGACUAUACAUAAUCAUCAACAGGAUCUCUAACACAGUGAUCAUGGUUAGAAGUGGUAGUAUUCACUGGCCAUUGGAAAAAGACAGAGAAAGGUUGCCUUGAAUCUUGAUAGGGUGUGGAUUUAAUGUUUACAAUUCCAUUCACCUUUUGCUUAACUCAAAAUCACCAUUUGCUAUGCAAAUCCUAGCUUUAGGUUUGAUAAUCCAGUAUAAAUAUCGUAAAUUAUGUGCCCAAACUGUGUUCAAUUAGAAUCAGCAGAUUAGCAGCGUCUCAGCAUCUAUAUAAGAACAACAAUUAAUGAUCCCAACAACUCAAGUUUCCCUAGUACUGUCCAAAUAAGCAUAUCUAUCUAUUGACUGAAAUGAAAAGAUUUCGAUUAAGCACGUCAAGAAAUUGAAAAACAAUGUACCAAACAUAAUGGGUAUGGCUGAGAAGAAAAAUAAGGAAAGCAAUUACAUCAGACAAUAAAGGCAUCAAUUAUAUGAAAGAAUGUCAAACCACUUGGUUAAGCUAUGUGUAGACAAAAAGUCAAAGCAAAGAAUGACGUGUUACACUGUAUUUUGUUGAUGCUGUCAAGGUAUCAAAGCUUAGGCAUAAUGACCCAUUGAAAUUCUGGUUCUACUCUUAACACAAAAUGGAACAGGUACAUAAAUACAAGUUGGUUUCAACUUUUAGGUUUCCUUCUUAUCAAAUAGGACAGUUAGAUUUUUAUUAUCACCAUUCACCAGAGUAGUAAAUGCCACACCAAAACAGAAAAAAUAAGUCAAUGAAUCAUGUAAUAUACAUGAUAUUUAUUGCAGUCAAGGACCCAAAUAUUGUCAUAAUAGGAGAUGAACAAGAGGGUGUUACUUGACUCAAAUAUCUAUUUGGUCACUUUUAGAACAAAGAUUUAGGAAAGCUCAAGUACUUUCUGGGUAUUGAAGUAACACAAUCCAAUAUGGGCAUUGUUAUUUCACAAAGGAAACACGAAUCGGAUAUCCUAGAAGAAACUGGCAUGCUAGACUACAAACACGUACAUAUCCCCAUGGAGGAGCCAUUGAAAGACCCUAGUCAAUAUCAGAGACUUUUUGGUAAACUCAAUUUUCUCACAAUCGCACGAUCAAAUAUUUCUUUUGCAGUAAAUGUGGAUAGUUUCUUCAAACUCUUUGUGAUAAUCAUUGGAAUGCAGUAAUCCAUAUACUUAGAUGUAUCAAAGAAGCCCUAGGACAAGGACUAUCGCAUUAACUAUGAAGACAGAAAACAAAUACAAAUUGUUGGAUAUUCUAAUGAGAUUGGGCAUUUUCUCCCUCAAACAGACAAUCUACUUCAGGAUAUUGUGCCCUAAUUGGAGGAACCCUAAUAUCUUUGAAGGGUAUAAAGUAGGAUGUAGCGGCCAUAUCAGGUGUAAAAGCAGAAUACCGAGCUAGAGCCUUAGCAACUUGUGAGCUUAUUUAGUUAAAACAACUUCUUCAAAAAUUGAGAUGUGAAGAUAUCAAACAAAUGAAGUUGAUUUAUGACAAUCAAGCAUCACUGCAUAUUGCCUUAAAUUCAAUUUUUCACGAAAGAACAAAAAAUAUAGUGGUAGAUUGUCACUUUAUCAGACAAAAGAUUGAGUCAAGAUGUAUUGCUAUUAGUUUUGUCAAUUCAAACAACCAGUUAGUAUAAAUCCUUAAUAAAUCCCUUAGAAGGUCUCAGAUUGAUUACAUUAGUGACAAGUUAGGAACAUAUGAUAUGUAUGCUCCAGCUUAAGGGGAAGAUAUGGAUAUGUGCGUUAAGAUUAUGCAAGUAAAUGUGAGCUAGGAUUAUGCUUGUAAAUGUGCCUAUAGAUAUGUCCUAUAAAUUUUUAGCAUACUAUUCUCAAUGUAUGACUUGACAGUGUGUAUAUAUAUAUACCUAAAAGCUUGAGGGAAUAAUCAAGCAAU